GAAGGAUUUAGUUUAAUUAAAACGGUUGUUUUGCAUGCAGCAGAUGUUAGAUGAAGUCUUGCAGUCCUUA
This 70-nucleotide transfer RNA is filed under the name Hylomys suillus (short-tailed gymnure). Its description in RNAcentral is "transfer RNA-Ala". It matches the Rfam family "tRNA". From Rfam's summary of the family: Transfer RNA (tRNA) molecules are approximately 80 nucleotides in length. Their secondary structure includes four short double-helical elements and three loops (D, anti-codon, and T loops). Lineage: Eukaryota; Metazoa; Chordata; Mammalia; Eulipotyphla; Erinaceidae. The record is from RNAcentral.